Non-coding RNA from Podarcis lilfordi (Lilford's wall lizard), 69 nucleotides. The record is from the annotation of a GenBank genome assembly. NCBI's taxonomy places the organism in Eukaryota, Metazoa, Chordata, Lepidosauria, Squamata, Lacertidae.
GGAUAGCUCAGCCGGUAGAGCAUGAGACUCUUAAUGUCAGGGUCCUUGGUUUGAGCCUCAUGUUGGGCA